Molecule: ribosomal RNA, 642 nt
Filed under: uncultured Hyphomicrobiales bacterium
Lineage: Bacteria; Pseudomonadati; Pseudomonadota; Alphaproteobacteria; Hyphomicrobiales
Description: bacterial SSU rRNA
Rfam family: Bacterial small subunit ribosomal RNA
Source: RNAcentral
AACGAACGCUGGCGGCAGGCCUAACACAUGCAAGUCGAACGUGAAGCCACCUUCGGGUGGUGGAAAGUGGCAGACGGGUGAGUAACGCGUGGGAACGUGCCUUUCGGUUCGGAAUAACCCAGGGAAACUUGGGCUAAUACCGGAUACGCCCUUCGGGGGAAAGAUUCAUCGCCGAAAGAUCGGCCCGCGUCGGAUUAGCUAGUUGGUGGGGUAAUGGCUCACCAAGGCGACGAUCCGUAGCUGGUCUGAGAGGAUGACCAGCCACACUGGGACUGAGACACGGCCCAGACUCCUACGGGAGGCAGCAGUGGGGAAUAUUGGACAAUGGGCGCAAGCCUGAUCCAGCCAUGCCGCGUGGGUGAAGAAGGCCUUAGGGUUGUAAACCCCUUUCAGCGGGGAAGAUAAUGACGGUACCCGCAGAAGAAGUCCCGGCUAACUCCGUGCCAGCAGCCGCGGUAAUACGGAGGGGACUAGCGUUGUUCGGAAUUACUGGGCGUAAAGCGCGCGUAGGCGGAUUUGCAAGUCGGGGGUGAAAUCCCGAGGCUCAACCUCGGAACUGCCUUCGAUACUGCAAAUCUCGAGUCCGGAAGAGGUGAGUGGAAUUCCUAGUGUAGAGGUGAAAUUCGUAGAUAUUAGGAAGAA